CGGAGGUGCAACAAACCGGCGAGGGUGUCUCGAUCGUGGUCGUUCUAAUGGAAAGCUGCUACAGCGCGGUGCUAUGGAUAUGUACUUUUUGUAUUUUAUGUGUUUUGCUGUAUAUUUGCACCGUGAAAAGCGGUUAUCAUAAGGAUUGGAGUAAACGUAAAGGCAUCGGUCCUACAUUGAAUUCAAAACCAAAUCCUGCAGGAAACUUACCAUUUUCAGUUUACGUUAUCGGGCCUGAUGAGACCAAAGCAUCAUGCGCAGUACCAUGCGUUGUUCAACUGAACUAUUGUGAGCUGUUACAAAGCACCAAGGAGGCCCGGCGAAGCCGCAAGGAGAUCUCCCUUGAUCCUACCGGUUACCCUUUUCAUAUGCACGGCAGCACAGACAACCUAGUCUUGGAAGGUUAAAGUUAAGUUAUCGAUUGCUAAACGUAUUUUCAAAUUUGUUUUAAGCCAUCUUUCACACCAAAAACCAUUCUCUAGGCCGUAAAAGUCUAGAGUGAAAACGGCCAGAAGUUGGGAAAGGAGGAAAAAUUAACUUGUGAAAUGGGAAAUUUGUUUGCACAUUUUACAAUACCAGGGAGGUAUAGUUUGAGUGGUCGAUACAUUUUAUUUGAUUUCGAAUUAUGGAAAUUAAAUUUAGGAUGGCCCAAAAAUUUAAAUUUAUUGUUUUUGUUAAACACGGCUAUAUUUAGCUUUGGACUAUUUAAAACAAAUUCGUUAGUAUUCGUCCGCUAAUAUUUGUUUAAUUGUAGUUAUGUUUUGAAACCGCCUUCGAUAUGGAGGCGCCUGGUACAUGAUGAAAAAAACGUGAGGUUGAAGCUUUAACAUUUGUUGACAUUACUAGAAGAGUUUAUGUAGAGAAGAAAACAUCAAGCAUAGGAUUUCUAGUUCGUAGUAUUAAAAUUUAGUACAAUCGAUAGAUACACAAAGCUUGAAUAUGAUUAUAACCCCGUUGCUAAUAUUAUUUUUU
Anopheles nili is the source of this 972-nucleotide long non-coding RNA. RefSeq lists it as uncharacterized. The transcript is spliced from 3 exons. NCBI's taxonomy places the organism in Eukaryota, Metazoa, Arthropoda, Insecta, Diptera, Culicidae. The record is from RefSeq and is a predicted model, not a curated record.